GUGGCCCCUUCCAACCUGAUCCAUUCUGGGAUUCUUGGAUUCUGUAAUACAGGAAAAGAAACAAAACAUAAUUUUGCUAAGUGCUUGGAGCCGGGAAUGCAGAUUCACAUCAUGCUAAGACUACCUUCUAUUCUACGAGGAAUGAUAUUUCCAGUUCCGUGUCUAAAGAAGGGCAAGAAUAAAGAAAUAAUCUAAGAGAGAAUUCAGCAAUUGACAGAAGAGGACAUUAUGAGUUCAUUAAGCUUCUGAGUUUUAUUAAGUGAUGAUACUUGAAAUUUUCACCUCUCAUUCCAAUCCCGUCUAUGCUAUCCUAUGGUCAGUAAUAUUUUCCUAUCAUUUUAACUUUUACUGACUUCAUACAAAGCAGCUCUGCUACUUUUCCCACUGUAUUAAUAUUACUAUAUGUGUUCAUAUGGUUUCUACUGUGCUUUAUUUUCCUCCCAAAAAAUAACUGAGAAGGACUUUUGAGAAUGUUUACUAUCGACUCAUAAUUUGUGAUGACUGACUUUCAGUAUUCUAGAAUUUUUCUGACUACUCUUAGUAUUCUUCUUUAGAAUGCUGUAUAUUCAAGUAGCUCUAUAUAUUUUAAAAAAAAUAUUUUUAAUGGUACGAUCAGUUAAAAUUUCAGUUGAAAACAAAUACACAAAAUCAUCUUUAUUUGAGUAGAAUUUUCUGUAGAGUUAACAUAAUUUAUCAGUGAAUUUAAUUUAUUAUUUUGCUAUUUUUGGAUACAGAACUUUCGUUACAAACUUCGUUUCUGCAGAAAUUUGUGAAAUAAGUUUCUGCAUGCUUGUGAAAUACUCUGUUGCCAUAGUGAUGACUGUGAUAGAAAAAGCUACAAGAAAAGCAGUAACUGUCUUGAGGACAUGGUUUCAGUGCAGUCUAAUAAAUGAAAUAUACAGCUGUAGAGGGAAAAUAAAAAGAUAAGAAAAAUAUUGAAUCCCUUUUUUUUUUCUUUUUCCUCCCAUGAGGAUCAUCCAUUUUACACACUUCAUGACAUAGUCCUGGGGGAGAAAAGAGGUGGCUGGAAGGAAAGGAUGCAAUUGUACAGUUUUUAUGUACUUGCAAAGUUACAAGGAGAUGCACUGUUGAAAAGCAACCUUAAUUCUAGAAUUUCCUAGGUUAUUAGGCUUGGGGAUAUUUUUCUUGAACAAAGAACUGUUCUGGCCCAUCCCUCAAUAUGCAAGAGGUAGCUUCAAUUCUGUGGUAACUGACAUAUUGUUCCUAUCAUUUUAUCUCUAGAAGAUCAGAGCCUUUUUUUUUUUUUUUUUUUUUUUUUUUUUUUUUUUUUUUUUUUUUUUUUUUUUUUUU
Molecule: long non-coding RNA, 1311 nt
Organism: Prinia subflava (tawny-flanked prinia)
Lineage: Eukaryota; Metazoa; Chordata; Aves; Passeriformes; Cisticolidae
Exons: 3
Source: RefSeq, a predicted model, not a curated record